GAUAAACGCUGGCGGCGCACAUAAGACAUGCAAGUCGAACGAACUUAAUUGAGAGCUUGCUCUCAAAGCGGUUAGUGGCGGACUGGUGAGUAACACGUAAGCAACCUGCCUAUUAGAGGGGAAUAACAGCGAGAAAUCGUUGCUAAUACCGUAUAUGCUGUGAGUAUCGCAUGAUACAAGCAGGAAAGGAGUAAUCCGCUAAUAGAUGGGCUUGCGUCUGAUUAGUUAGUUGGUGGGGUAACGGCCUACCAAGACGAUGAUCAGUAGCCGGACUGAGAGGUUGAACGGCCACAUUGGGACUGAGAUACGGCCCAGACUCCUACGGGAGGCAGCAGUCGGGAAUAUUGCGCAAAUGGAGGAAAACUCUGACGCAGUGACGCCCG
RNAcentral lists this ribosomal RNA (383 nucleotides) under Clostridiales bacterium oral taxon 085. RNAcentral's name for it is "bacterial SSU rRNA". It matches the Rfam family "Bacterial small subunit ribosomal RNA", at positions 28 to 399 of the family's 1533-position model. Lineage: Bacteria; Bacillati; Bacillota; Clostridia; Eubacteriales. The record is from RNAcentral.